GUGGGUGGGGGGUGGGCC
This 18-nucleotide unclassified non-coding RNA is filed under the name Chlamydomonas reinhardtii. RNAcentral describes it as "small RNA Cre_2067". The record is from RNAcentral. Lineage: Eukaryota; Viridiplantae; Chlorophyta; Chlorophyceae; Chlamydomonadales; Chlamydomonadaceae.